RNAcentral lists this long non-coding RNA (329 nucleotides) under Helianthus annuus (common sunflower). RNAcentral describes it as "hypothetical non coding rna". Lineage: Eukaryota; Viridiplantae; Streptophyta; Magnoliopsida; Asterales; Asteraceae. The record is from RNAcentral.
GUUUCGAUGUUGGGUGGCUUUUGGGUCACGAGUUAGGCUGGUCAACCGUACAGAUCUGGUCAAACUUCGGGUCAGGUCGACUCUCGGUCAACAAAAGUCAACGAUGGUCAAAGUCUUAGUCAGGUGGUCGUAUUUGAGUGGCACGUUUAUCGAGGAAACCUUUUUCGUGUCGGUCUUGAGCGGUUAAUUCGAGUAGGGAUGUCUUGGUGAUUAUUUGCAUGUUAUGCCGGUUCGUAUCGUUGACACAAUACUUUUGGAUAUAACACGCACCCUAGGUCGAUAGGUACUUUGUUGGGAACUUGUUGUCUGGAGUAGCUGGAGUGGUCACG